GAUGAACGCUGGCGGCGUGCCUAACACAUGCAAGUCGAACGAAAAGACGAGGUGGUUUCCUGACGGACGUUAGCCGCGGAAGUGAGAGAAACAAGCGUACCACCUCCUUAUAAGUCUGGGAGCAAAACGUGAAAUCGGAGCUCAUACGGGAUAAUAUAUUGAACCGCAUGGUUCAAUAGUGAAAGACGGUUGUGCUGUCGCUUAUAGAUGGAUCCGCACCGCAUUAGCUAGUUGGUAAGGUAACAGCUUACCAAGGCGACGAUGCGUAGCCGACCUGAGAGGAUGAUCGGCCACACUGGAACUGAGACACGGUCCAGACUCCUACGGGAGGCAGCAGUGGGGAAUCUUCGGCAAUGGGCGAAAGCCUGACGCAGCAAUGCCGCGUGAGUGAUGAAGGUCUUCGGGUCGUAAAACUCUGUUGUUAGGGAAGAACAGGUUUGGACGUAAACCUGCAGGUCUUGACGGUACCGUAUGAAUAAGCACCGGCUAACUACGUG
Molecule: ribosomal RNA, 497 nt
Filed under: uncultured bacterium
Lineage: Bacteria
Description: partial 16S ribosomal RNA
Rfam family: Bacterial small subunit ribosomal RNA
Source: RNAcentral